GCCGAAGUGGCGGAAUUGGCAGACGCGCAGGAUUCAAAAUCCUGUGUCCUUUACGGGACGUGAGGGUUCGAUUCCCUCCUUCGGCA
This 86-nucleotide transfer RNA is filed under the name marine sediment metagenome. RNAcentral describes it as "tRNA-Leu". It matches the Rfam family "tRNA". Rfam says of the family: Transfer RNA (tRNA) molecules are approximately 80 nucleotides in length. Their secondary structure includes four short double-helical elements and three loops (D, anti-codon, and T loops). The record is from RNAcentral.